Molecule: ribosomal RNA, 253 nt
Filed under: uncultured bacterium
Lineage: Bacteria
Description: partial 16S ribosomal RNA
Rfam family: Bacterial small subunit ribosomal RNA
Source: RNAcentral
UACGUAGGGUGCAGGCGUUAGUCGGAAUUACUGGGCGUAAAGCGUGCGCAGGCGGCUCCUUAAGUCAGAUGUGAAAGCCCCGGGCUUAACCUGGGAACUGCGUUUGAAACUGGGGGGCUAGAGUGUGGAAGAGGGGGGUGGAAUUCCAGGUGUAGCAGUGAAAUGCGUAGAGAUCUGGAGGAACACCGAUGGCGAAGGCAGCCCCCUGGGCUAACACUGACGCUCAUGCACGAAAGCGUGGGGAGCAAACAGG